This 576-nucleotide ribosomal RNA is filed under the name uncultured bacterium. Its description in RNAcentral is "bacterial SSU rRNA". It matches the Rfam family "Bacterial small subunit ribosomal RNA", at positions 102 to 674 of the family's 1533-position model. The record is from RNAcentral.
ACGGGUGAGUAAUACAUCGGAACGUAUCCUGGAGUGGGGGAUAGCCCGGCGAAAGCCGGAUUAAUACCGCAUACGCUCUGAGGAGGAAAGCGGGGGACCUUCGGGCCUCGCGCUCAAGGGGCGGCCGAUGGCGGAUUAGGUAGUUGGUGGGGUAAAGGCCUACCAAGCCGACGAUCCGUAGCUGGUCUGAGAGGACGACCAGCCACACUGGGACUGAGACACGGCCCAGACUCCUACGGGAGGCAGCAGUGGGGAAUUUUGGACAAUGGGGGCAACCCUGAUCCAGCAAUGCCGCGUGUGUGAAGAAGGCCUUCGGGUUGUAAAGCACUUUUGUCCGGAAAGAAAUCAUCGGGGCCAAUACCCCUGGUGGAUGACGGUACCGGAAGAAUAAGCACCGGCUAACUACGUGCCAGCAGCCGCGGUAAUACGUAGGGUGCGAGCGUUAAUCGGAAUUACUGGGCGUAAAGCGUGCGCAGGCGGUGCUGUAAGACCGAUGCGAAAUCCCCGGGCUUAACCUGGGAACUGCAUUGGUGACUGCAGCGCUGGAGUAUGGCAGAGGGGGGUGGAAUUCCACGU